CUUUACCUCGGGACGCAGCAGUGGGGAAUAUUGCACAAUGGGGGAAACCCUGAUGCAGCGACGCCGCGUGAGUGAGGAAGUAUUUCGGUAUGUAAAGCUCUCUCAGCAGGGAAGAAAAUGACGGUACCUGACUAAGAAGCCCCGGCUAACUACGUGCCUGCAGCCGCGGUAAUACGUAGGGGGCAAGCGUUAUCCGGAUUUACUGGGUGUAAAGGGAGCGUAGACGGAGGAGCAAGUCUGAUGUGAAAAUCCGGGGCCCAACCCCGGAACUGCAUUGGAAACUGUUUAUCUAGAGUGUCGGAGAG
This 305-nucleotide ribosomal RNA is filed under the name uncultured bacterium. Its description in RNAcentral is "bacterial SSU rRNA". It matches the Rfam family "Bacterial small subunit ribosomal RNA", at positions 334 to 656 of the family's 1533-position model. The record is from RNAcentral.